Molecule: ribosomal RNA, 552 nt
Filed under: fungal sp. SNB-LAP1-7-82
Lineage: Eukaryota; Fungi
Description: eukaryotic LSU rRNA
Rfam family: 5.8S ribosomal RNA (bases 169-322)
Source: RNAcentral
GGGCCAACCUCCCAUCCGUGUCUAUUGUACCCUGUUGCUUCGGCGGGCCCGCCGCUUGUCGGCCGCCGGGGGGGCGCCUCUGCCCCCCGGGCCCGUGCCCGCCGGAGACCCCAACACGAACACUGUCUGAAAGCGUGCAGUCUGAGUUGAUUGAAUGCAAUCAGUUAAAACUUUCAACAAUGGAUCUCUUGGUUCCGGCAUCGAUGAAGAACGCAGCGAAAUGCGAUAACUAAUGUGAAUUGCAGAAUUCAGUGAAUCAUCGAGUCUUUGAACGCACAUUGCGCCCCCUGGUAUUCCGGGGGGCAUGCCUGUCCGAGCGUCAUUGCUGCCCUCAAGCCCGGCUUGUGUGUUGGGUCGCCGUCCCCCUCUCCGGGGGGACGGGCCCGAAAGGCAGCGGCGGCACCGCGUCCGAUCCUCGAGCGUAUGGGGCUUUGUCACAUGCUCUGUAGGAUUGGCCGGCGCCUGCCGACGUUUUCCAACCAUUCUUUCCAGGUUGACCUCGGAUCAGGUAGGGAUACCCGCUGAACUUAAGCAUAUCAAUAAGCGGAGGAA